This is a non-coding RNA of Chlorocebus sabaeus (green monkey), 1748 nucleotides long. Lineage: Eukaryota; Metazoa; Chordata; Mammalia; Primates; Cercopithecidae. The record is from RefSeq and is a predicted model, not a curated record.
UUGAGAACUUCAGAUUCUAACUCAUUCUGUACCCAAUCCCUCAACCACCAUCAUCAGUGGCAGCCUGUUCUAUAUUCUUAAGGUCCCUUGGAGCCCUGUGUCCCAAAUCCUAGCAUGUCCUCUUUUCCCCUUCCUUUUCCUCACAGUUUCCUCAGCUCCCCAGCCCCUGAUUUUCUUCCUGUCCCCAGGAAACCAGAGUUGUGGAGCCAGGAUGAAGUAGAGCAAGCUGGACGCCUAGUGUUCACUCUGUCUACUGAGGCAAUUUCCUUGAUCCCCAGGGAGGCCUUGGGUCCAGAGACCCUGGAGCGGCUUCUAGAAAAGCAGCAGAGCUGGGAGCAGAGCAGAGUUGGACAGCUGUGUAGGGGGCCACAGCUGGCUGCCAAGAAAGCAGCCCUGGUAGCAGGGGUUGUACGACCAGCUGCUGAGGAUCUUCCAGAACCUGUGCCAAAUUGUGCAGAUGUACGAGGGACAUUCCCAGCAGCCUGGUCUGCAACCCAGAUUGCAGAGAUGGAGCUCUCAGACUUUGAGGACUGCCUGACACUAUUUGCAGGGGACCCAGGACUUGGGCCUGAGGAACUGCGGGCAGCCAUGGGCAAAGCAAAACAGUUGUGGGGUCCCCCCCGGGGAUUUCGUCCUGAGCAGAUCCUGCAGCUCGGUCGGCUCUUAAUAGGUCUAGGAGAUCGGGAACUACAGGAGCUGAUCCUAGUGGACUGGGGAGUGCUGAGCACCCUGGGGCAGAUAGAUGGCUGGAGCUCCACUCAGAUCCGUGUUGUGGUCUCCAGUUUCCUAUGGCAGAGUGGUCGGCAUGUGAGCCACCUGGACUUCAUUCAUCUGACAGCGCUGGGUUAUACGCUCUGUGGACUGCGGCCAGAGGAGCUCCAGCACAUCAGCAGUUGGGAGUUUAGCCAAGCAGCUCUCUUCCUGGGCACCCUACAUCUCCAGUGCUCUGAAGAACAACUGGAGGUUCUGGCCCACCUCCUUGUACUGCCUGGUGGCUUUGGCCCAAUCAGUAACUGGGGGCCUGAGAUCUUCACUGAAAUUGGCACCAUAGCAGCUGGGAUCCCAGACCUGGCUCUUUCAGCACUGCUGCGGGGACAGAUCCAGGGCCUUACUCCUCUUGCCAUUUCUGUCAUCCCUCCUCCUAAAUUUGCUGUGGUGUUUAGUCCCACCCAACUAUCUAGUCUCACCAGUGCUCAGGCUGUGGCUGUCACUCCUGAGCAAAUGGCCUGAGUCCUGAGCAGCGACGAGCAGUUGCAUGGGCCCAGCAUGAGGGGAAGGAGAGCCCAGAACAGCAAGGUCGAAGUACAGCCUGGGGCCUCCAGGACUGGUCACGACCUUCCUGGUCCCUGGUAUUGACUAUCAGCUUUCUUGGCCACCUGCUCUGAGCCUGUCUCUACAGUAGAAGGAGAUUGUGGGGAGAGAAAUCUUAAGUCAUAAUGAAUAAAGUGCAAACAGAAGUGCAUCCUGAUUAUUUUCAGAAGCUGAUGAGGAAUAUGGGUAAAAUGUUAAUGCUUUCCACCCACCUGAGAAUCAGUGUUCCCAGGAUGCCAUAUCUGGAGUCUCUUUCCAUCAUAAAUAAUCCCACUGCCUCUUUUCAUUUCCUGAAGCCUGCUCCCCUCCUCACCCCACCAUUAGAAAUAACAUAGACAGCUGCAGCAUAGCAAGGAGUCUUUACUAGGAUGGAGGCAGGGGAUGCGGGGGCAGGUCCAGAGCAAGUAGAAUGGGCCAUCAUUAGAAUGAGCAGAACU